ACUCANCACNCAGGGUUCGAUUCNGGAGAGCGGUGGGCACCAAUUNGACUCAACACGCAUGGGUUCGAUUCCGGAGAGCGGUGGGCACCAAUUUGACUCAACACGCAAUUUGANUCAACACGCAAUUUGACUCAACACGCAAUUUGACUCAACACGCANNNGACUCAACACGCAAUUUGACUCAACACGCAAUUUGACUCAACACGCAAUCUGACUCAACACGCAAUUUGACUCAACACGCAAUUUGACUCAACACGUAAUUUGACUCAACACGCAAUUUGACUCAACACGCAUUCUGACUCAACACGCAAUUUGACUCAACACGCAAUUUGACUCAACACGCAAUUUGACUCAACACGCAAUUUGACUCAACACGCAAUUUGACUCAACACGCAAUUUGACUCAACACGCAUUUUGACUCAACACGCAUGGGUUCGAUUCCGGAGAGGGGUUGGGCACCAAUUUGACUCAACACGCAUGGGUUCGAUUCCGGAGAGCGGUGGGCACCAAUUUGACUCAACACGCAGGGUUCGAUUCCGGAGAGCGGUGGGCACCAAUUUGACUCAACACGCAUGGGUUCGAUUCCGGAGAGCGGUGGGCACCAAUUUGACUCAACACGCAUGGGUUCGAUUCCGGAGAGCGGUGGGCACUAAUUUGACUCAACACGCAAUUUGACUCAACACGCAAUUUGACUCAACACGCAGGGUUCGAUUCCGGAGAGCGGUGGGCACCAAUUUGACUCAACACGCAAUUUGACUCAACACGCAAUUUGACUCAACACGCAAUUUGACUCAACACGCAAUUUGACUCAACACGCAAUUUGACUCAACACGCAAUUCGACUCAACACGCAAUUUGACUCAACACGCAAUUUGACUCAACACGCAAUUUGACUCAACACGCAAUUUGA
Molecule: ribosomal RNA, 909 nt
Filed under: uncultured eukaryote
Lineage: Eukaryota
Description: partial 18S ribosomal RNA
Source: RNAcentral